This 271-nucleotide long non-coding RNA is filed under the name Bos taurus (domestic cattle). Its description in RNAcentral is "long non-coding RNA NONBTAT001642". Lineage: Eukaryota; Metazoa; Chordata; Mammalia; Artiodactyla; Bovidae. The record is from RNAcentral.
GACACACACUUUAUCCAUAGAGGUGGCGGGUUGGGGGACACAUGUUUAGGAUUGUGGCCAUUUUAAACUAAGGGGACGCCAAAUCAGAAACAAUCAUGCAGCUGAUCUACUUUGCAAUGUAGCCACACAAGCCUAACAAAAUAUUGUGCUACCGCCACAGUCGUUGUAUUCUGCACUGGUAAUUAACCUUGUCAAGUUGUUUUAAACAAGCCUCAUGCGUAUGUCUUAAGCAAAUGACAAAUUAAAUGUUCAGAUAUGAUUUUUAAAAAGC